GAUGAACGCUGGCGGCGUGCCUAAUACAUGCAAGUCGAGCGAACAGACGAGGAGCUUGCUCCUCUGACGUUAGCGGCGGACGGGUGAGUAACACGUGGAUAACCUACCUAUAAGACUGGGAUAACUUCGGGAAACCGGAGCUAAUACCGGAUAAUAUAUUGAACCGCAUGGUUCAAUAGUGAAAGACGGUUUUGCUGUCACUUAUAGAUGGAUCCGCGCCGCAUUAGCUAGUUGGUAAGGUAACGGCUUACCAAGGCAACGAUGCGUAGCCGACCUGAGAGGGUGAUCGGCCACACUGGAACUGAGACCCGGUCCAGACUCCUACGGGAGGCAGCAGUAGGGAAUCUUCCGCAAUGGGCGAAAGCCUGACGGAGCAACGCCGCGUGAGUGAUGAAGGUCUUCGGAUCGUAAAACGCUGUUAUUAGGGAAGAACAAAUGUGUAAGUAACUAUGCACGUCUGGACGGUACCUAAUCAGAAAGCCACGGCUAACUACGU
Molecule: ribosomal RNA, 496 nt
Filed under: uncultured bacterium
Lineage: Bacteria
Description: partial 16S ribosomal RNA
Rfam family: Bacterial small subunit ribosomal RNA
Source: RNAcentral